AUUUCUUCAGCAAAACAAAAGGAAAUAUCUCUGACAAACAUCCAUAGACUUUUCGAAUGUGUCAACUGUUUUUGUACUCACAUUUUCAUCACCGUGCUAAGGAACCAUACAAAGUAGUUAAACUGUGAGCUUUAUGGUGGAAAGAUUAAAAGGAUUUGCUUGAUACAUCAAGGUACCAUGCAGAACAGUUAGCCUCUUGGCAGACUGCAUUUAUUUAAUGAUAUUUUAAGGGGGA
Molecule: unclassified non-coding RNA, 235 nt
Filed under: Hevea brasiliensis (rubber tree)
Lineage: Eukaryota; Viridiplantae; Streptophyta; Magnoliopsida; Malpighiales; Euphorbiaceae
Source: RNAcentral